UGUGCCUCGUCUUCUUCAUGCAUCAUGUAGCAACCGAACGUUGAGAGAGUUCGUUCGGGGCAGCAAACGAAUAGUGUCUCUCAGAGCAGAUCCUCCUCAUGGGGGGAGGUUUGAAUGAAUGUAUAUGUAUCGUCUCCUGUAUAGCUAUGCGAGGCCUCAAAGUGUGUAUUUUGAAUGCCUCUGAUGAGAAAAUUGGUGAGGAUUUCAAUCACUGGUAUAAAUCAUCACUCUAAGAAAAUUGUACAUAGUGGGACCGUAAAAAGUACAUACUUUGAAGUUCGACAACUUUUACGUAGAAGUGGGUUUCAAAAAUUACAUUCUUUGUCAGUUCUUUCUGUUCUACAAAACCCUCUAUGUAGAAAGAACUUUAAUUUCAGAUAAUUUGAAGUUGACGGCGUUUUGCUUCUCACUCGCACCACCAGGGAGUCAGUCUGUGAUUUGCAUCCUACUUGCGCGCAAGCAACAAUUUUUGCAGAACUUUCCCAUAAGUCUUUGCGAAAACAUAAUUUUCUUGGAUAGUUGUUGGUUUCCACUGGGUCCAGAAGCGACAUGAAACGCUAUCAUAGACGAUUCAACAAUCUUAUUCCACCAUAGUUGCGUCCUCAACAAAGAAAGCCAAAAAUCAAAGAUUUUAAACUUAAUCCGCCAGUUUACUGUCGAUCGAAUCAUACCCUGCCCCAGAAAUUGAAUAUCAAGGACACCAGCUCAAACUAAAAAAUCGAUGUUCUGGUGUGACAAAUCCCAUCUGGGUGAUUUCCAGAUAAUCCAUCAUGAUGUAGCAUUCAAUCCCCAACGGAAAAACGUAUUACUCGGAUGAACCGAAAACAGUUUGCAAAAAAACAGUGACCGGAAAUGAUAAAGGGUAUUCAAAAAUAAAUUACUGUAG
Molecule: long non-coding RNA, 886 nt
Organism: Uranotaenia lowii
Lineage: Eukaryota; Metazoa; Arthropoda; Insecta; Diptera; Culicidae
Exons: 3
Source: RefSeq, a predicted model, not a curated record